Molecule: ribosomal RNA, 578 nt
Filed under: Aspergillus sp. HA21- KHI
Lineage: Eukaryota; Fungi; Ascomycota; Eurotiomycetes; Eurotiales; Aspergillaceae
Description: eukaryotic LSU rRNA
Rfam family: 5.8S ribosomal RNA (bases 191-344)
Source: RNAcentral
CUGAGUGAAGGUUCCUUCGGGGCCCAACCUCCCACCCUUGUAUACUGUACCAAGUUGCUUCGGCGGGCCCGCCGUUCGCGCGGCCGCCGGGGGGGAACCCCUCCCCCCGGGCGAGCGCCCGCCGGAGACCCCAACGUGAACACUGUCUGAAGUUUUGUCGUCUGAGUUCGAUUGUAUCGCAAUCAGUUAAAACUUUCAACAAUGGAUCUCUUGGUUCCGGCAUCGAUGAAGAACGCAGCGAAAUGCGAUAAUUAAUGUGAAUUGCAGAAUUCAGUGAAUCAUCGAGUCUUUGAACGCACAUUGCACCCCCUGGUAUUCCGGGGGGUAUGCCUGUCCGAGCGUCAUUGCUGCCCUCAAGCCCGGCUUGUGUGUUGGGUCCUCGUCCCCCCCGGGGGACGGGCCCGAAAGGCAGCGGCGGCACCGCGUCCGGUCCUCGAGCGUAUGGGGCUUUGUCACACCGCUCUCGUAGGCCCGGCCGGCGCUGGCCGACGCUGAAAAGCAACCAUUAUUUCUCCAGGUUGACCUCGGAUCAGGUAGGGAUACCCGCUGAACUUAAGCAUAUCAAUAAGCGGAGGAAA